GGUUUAUGAUGAUAAUCCAAAGGCUUGUUUCUCAAAACAUUCGCAGUGGUCGCCUAAGAGCUUUCGCCUUUCACGGGCUUGAGAGCUUGUGCCGCUUCAUUCCUUCCUUGGAUGUCCGAGACC
This is a small nucleolar RNA of Gossypium raimondii (Peruvian cotton), 123 nucleotides long. RefSeq annotates it as small nucleolar RNA SNORD14. Lineage: Eukaryota; Viridiplantae; Streptophyta; Magnoliopsida; Malvales; Malvaceae. The transcript has a single exon. The record is from RefSeq and is a predicted model, not a curated record.